CAUGGUUGCAAUCUGCCACAACACCAAGAGAAGAAGAAGUCAUGACUGCCAUGGUUACAGUUCCUGGCUUCACCUCCGAUAUGAACUGAUUAUCUGACGUAAAGCUUGUUUUUUAUGUUAAACGUUGUGUUAGUGCCUCUGAAAUGUGGAGGUUAAACAAAGUUCGCCAUAAAGCUGGCGGACAUGCAAACACCCUGGAGGAGCUGAGGCUGAGGAGGAGAGAGAAAGAACGAGCGCUGAGACAAGCGCGUAGAGACAGACAACUUGUAAGCAAGAGGCUCAUCCUUAAUGAAGAUGAAGAACAGGACCUUAUGGAGAUAACACCUGGGGAACAGGAUGUGGUCAGCUUGUUCCAUGCACUUCAGCACAGCGGCACAGAUAAAGAGGCAUACCUGAGAACCCUGAGUAAAGCGCUGCGUAACCCAUCCGCUCAACUCAUCUUCAUCAAGCUGGAGAACAGCAUGCACCUGCUGGUCGGCCUCCUCACCGGCUCUGACGCUCGGUGCCGUCUGCAGGCUGUUCGCUGUCUUCAUGAGCUGUCUCACUCCCCCCACACCAGCAUGGCGUCCGCCUGCCUGCCCGCCACUCCCUAUCUGCUCACAUACCUGUCUGGCCAGAGCACCAAGUUCACAGAGCUAUGUCUGUACACACUGGGUAAUAUAUGCCCAGACAGUGAGGUUGUGAAAGAGAGGCUUCUGGCCCAAGGAAUCAUACCAGCACUGGCCAGUUGUAUACAGAACCGUACACAUAACCUGGCAGUGGUGGAAGCUGCAGGCUUCACCCUCUUUCAGCUUCUGCAGACCAAAGAUGCCGUACAGAAAGUAAUCCCGAUGGUCCUGGCCUCCAGCUUACCUUCACAGUUGUUAUCAGUUCUGACCCCUGACCCCGAGUUUGGUCUGGCCCCAGCUAUAGAGUGUGCAUGGUGUCUGCACUCCCUUACAUCAAGCGCUGUGGAUCACAGAGAGCUGUUGGCACAAGGGGCCUUGACGCAGUGCAGUUCAUUACUAGUGUCACUAGGUGGUGCUGUGGUCGAUGGAAACACUGACCAAGGAGUGGAGCUGCUUGUGUGUCCUCUGCUGAGGUGUGUGGGAAACCUCCUGUCGUCCUGCCCUGUUGAAGCUCUUAGCUCUCAGCUGGGUGAUGUUCAUCUUGUGGCGGCUCUGUGUGAACUUGUUUUUGCCUUCCUGCACACCUUUCCGGCCUUGGCCAGAGAGACGGCCUGGGUCCUCAACAACCUCACAGCCCACUCCACAGAACUCUGCUCUGCUCUCUUAACGUUCAACCUGGCGCCGAGGCUGAUGGAGCUUCUGCCUUUUUCUCAAGGCAUUAAUACGAUGAUCCUAAGAGUUUUAGCAAAUGUUGCCCACAAGAAGAAGGAGUUCUGCAUCCGGCUGGCGGAGCUCGGACUGCUUUCUGCCCUCGCUGCCACACUAAAAAUGGCCAACCAGGACAUGGUGACUCUGAGUCUGGAGGUCUUGUUCAUGAUGAUUGUUAGCUCUCCACAGAUGACAUUGUUCCCCACAGAUAGCAGAGCAGUUUGUCAGGCAAGGUGGACUUUCAGUUUUAGAAGCCAUUCAGUACAACAAUGAAGGAGAGGUGAGGCGAAGGGCAACACACCUCCUGGAGCAGCACAUACUCACCUAGGAAAUAGUGGGACGUUUCUGGUGACCCGACCUAACAUUGGGACGUUUAAUAUUUAAUGAAGAAAGCGAUACAUUUUUAAGAUCUUCAAAAAUGAUGCAUUGUAUACACGUGUUUUUUUUAAGUACUGCACAAUUUGACAUCUCCAUGAAGAUAAAAUCAUUUUUACAUUUCUGGUAUGUUGUUUCUGAAAUCGUAUUUUUCUACAAUGGGAAUGUGUGUCUACAGUAUUUAUAUUCACUGUGAUGUAAGUACACCUUUGGCACUGUGUGAGAUGUAAGUGCAACUCAAUAAAUUUUUCAUAUCAUCAAAAGGGUCAAUUAUUUAAGUAGAUUAUCAUAAAAGUUAAACUUGGCAUAUUAUGUUGAUUUAUUGCUCCCAGAGGGACAUGUUUCAAUCAUUUAUUUCUGUUAAUGUGGAUGACUUUGGCUUACAGCUAAUAAAAAAUCCAAAUUUAGUUUCUCAAAAUAUUACAUCGGACCAACGUCUUUUAAUAUAAGAAUGUUUUUGUGAUGGCCAUGUUAUGGUCUUCACACAUGGGGGAAGACUGCUGACUUGAUACUUGUCCAGUGAGCAGUCAGUGACGCCCUCCACAAGGAGGAUAAGCCACAAAAGUGAAUUGUUAAAGAACAAUGAACAUUUUUUCCCCUGAUUAUUGAGAGAACUUAAAUAGCUAUUGACAUAUUUUUUUAUUAUAUGAUGUCUGUCUCAUAUCCUAUCAGAAACAAACAUUUUAGUUGAAUGAAAAUGAUUUUAAAUCUAAAUCUGCCAAGGGUUUGAAUAAUGUUGAUAUUAACUGCACCUUAUUUGUACCCUUUUCUAACCAUUUGACUCUUGUAAUGUUUAUGUGUGGCUGUGGAAGAGGUUAUUUCAAAUCAUGGUUUAAAUAAAAUGCCUUAAAAUGGCAAA
Molecule: RNA transcript, 2550 nt
Organism: Girardinichthys multiradiatus
Lineage: Eukaryota; Metazoa; Chordata; Actinopteri; Cyprinodontiformes; Goodeidae
Gene: tmco6
Gene name: transmembrane and coiled-coil domains 6
Exons: 13
Source: RefSeq, a predicted model, not a curated record